Molecule: ribosomal RNA, 424 nt
Filed under: uncultured bacterium
Lineage: Bacteria
Description: bacterial SSU rRNA
Rfam family: Bacterial small subunit ribosomal RNA
Source: RNAcentral
GGAAUUGUUCGCAAUGGGCGCAAGCCUGACGACGCAACGCCGCGUGGAGGAUGAAGAUCUUCGGGUCGUACACUCCUGUCGAGUGGGAAGAAACGUUGCGGGGCCAACACCCCCGGAAUUUGCCGGUACCAAUAAAGGAAGCCCCGGCUAACUCCGUGACAGCAGCCGCGGAAAUACGGGGGGGGCAAGCGUUGUUCGGAAUUACUGGGCGUAAAGGGCUCGUAGGCGGCCAACUAAGUCGGAUGUGAAAUCCCCAGGCUCAACCUGGGAACUGCAUCCGAUACUGGAUGGCUUGAAUUCGGGAGAGGGAUGCAGAAUUCCAGGUGUAGCGGUGAAAUGCGUAGAUAUCUGGAGGAAUACCGGUGGCGAAGGCGGCAUCCUGGACCGACAUUGACGCUGAGGAGCGAAAGCUAGGGGAGCAAAC